UAGACUCCUUGGCCUUUUGGCUAAGAUCAAGUGGAUUAUCUGUUCUUAUCAGUUAAGUGCGUGAUGUGACCUCUGUCCAAGGACAAAAACUUAACACUGGACUUUGGAACAGAAAGAUGGAAUGGAGUGUGUACAUUUCAUUCAUCAGUCUGGAAGUGUGAUUUCUCCGGAAAUGGUCCACACCCU
Small nuclear RNA from Meriones unguiculatus (Mongolian gerbil), 186 nucleotides. Its record names the gene U2. It matches the Rfam family "U2 spliceosomal RNA". From Rfam's summary of the family: U2 is a small nuclear RNA (snRNA) component of the spliceosome (involved in pre-mRNA splicing). Complementary binding between U2 snRNA (in an area lying towards the 5' end but 3' to hairpin I) and the branchpoint sequence (BPS) of the intron results the bulging out of an unpaired adenosine, on the BPS, which initiates a nucleophilic attack at the intronic 5' splice site, thus starting the first of two transesterification reactions that mediate splicing. NCBI's taxonomy places the organism in Eukaryota, Metazoa, Chordata, Mammalia, Rodentia, Muridae. The record is from Ensembl.